GCCCUCGUAGCUCAAUGGUAGAGCGCGUCACUAGUAGGUGUUACACUCGACAUGACGAGGUUGCCGGUUCGAUUCCGUCCGAGGGCA
Non-coding RNA from Amylocarpus encephaloides, 87 nucleotides. Lineage: Eukaryota; Fungi; Ascomycota; Leotiomycetes; Helotiales. The record is from the annotation of a GenBank genome assembly.